This 253-nucleotide ribosomal RNA is filed under the name uncultured bacterium. Its description in RNAcentral is "partial 16S ribosomal RNA". It matches the Rfam family "Bacterial small subunit ribosomal RNA", at positions 524 to 776 of the family's 1533-position model. The record is from RNAcentral.
UACGUAGGGUGCGAGCGUUAAUCGGAAUUACUGGGCGUAAAGCGUGCGCAGGCGGUUCGUUGUGUCUGUGGUGAAAGCCCCGGGCUUAACCUGGGAAUGGCCAUGGAAACUGGCGAGCUGGAGUGUGGCAGAGGGGGGUGGAAUUCCGCGUGUAGCAGUGAAAUGCGUAGAUAUCGGAAGGAACAUCAGUGGCGAAGGCGACUUCCUGGACCAAUACUGACGCUCAGGUGCGAAAGCGUGGGGAGCAAACAGG